GAAGUUUAUCACUUGACUUAAUUUAUCAUAAUUAGGAUUGAGCAAAAAACGGAUAUAACCGAAAAAUCGAAUCGAACCGAAAUAAUUUAAUCGAAUUUUUUUGAUAAUUCGAGUAUUUUUUACAAUUCGGUUAUAUCCAAAAAAAAAUUCGGUUUACGAGUUCGGAUUUGAGUUUGGAUUUUGUGUUAUUCAGCUAACCAAAUAACCGAGCAAAAUGUUUAAAAGAAUUAAGGCUUAAAGAAACACUAAUGUUAACUCUUCAGUACUCUUCAUCUCUUAUCUUAUCUCAUUUCUCAAUCUUCAGAUCUUGGUUAUCAACUGUCAGUCUCUCACCAUUCAUCAGUCUUUCAUAUCUUCAAUCUCUCUCUACUCUAUCAGAUCUCGAUCUCUAAUCUCUCAGAUCUCAAUCACUCAUCAGUCUAUCAUCUCGAUCUCGAUUGCAAGAGUUGCGAUUUCGCUCGGCCUCCGAACAACUUCAUCUCCAAGUACCAUGGAUAACAUUUCAAGAAGGAGCUACAACUUCUGAAUCCAUUUAUUUUCUCUUUCCUCUCGUCAGUCGUCGCGCUUCUUUGUAAUAAUUGAGGGAAUUGGACUUUGGAGUAAUUGAUACAACACUGAAGGGGCUACAGCCUGCCGCUACUUACUUAUUUGGGUAAAAAAAAUUUGUUGAGUUUUAGUACAGGUAUUGCCUAGUAUAUGUGAUCAACUGCUCCGUUGUUUUUGUCUACCUCUCUCUAGUAUCUUAUUUCAAGUUUUUUUUCUCCAUUUGAAACAAUAUUUGUAAUGGAUUUAGUUUUGUUUUAGAAAUCAGUAAUAUAUUUCUUAAUUUCGAUUUUUAUCCGAACAAUCGAAUAAUAAAUUCG
RNAcentral lists this long non-coding RNA (863 nucleotides) under Panax ginseng (ginseng). RNAcentral describes it as "long non-coding RNA (PGIN_LNC001757)". Lineage: Eukaryota; Viridiplantae; Streptophyta; Magnoliopsida; Apiales; Araliaceae. The record is from RNAcentral.